GCCAGGUGUGGUAGCUCACACCUGUAAUCCCAGCACUUUGGGAGGCUGAGAUGGAAGGAUUGCUUGAGGCCAGGAGUUCAAGACCACCCUGGCCAACACAGUAAGACUCCAUCUCUA
This 117-nucleotide non-coding RNA is filed under the name Gorilla gorilla gorilla (western lowland gorilla). The record is from Rfam by way of RNAcentral. Lineage: Eukaryota; Metazoa; Chordata; Mammalia; Primates; Hominidae.